RNAcentral lists this long non-coding RNA (723 nucleotides) under Hordeum vulgare. RNAcentral's name for it is "long non-coding RNA (HVUL_LNC017627)". The record is from RNAcentral. Lineage: Eukaryota; Viridiplantae; Streptophyta; Magnoliopsida; Poales; Poaceae.
UAGAAAUAUGUAAAUAUUUUGAGAAUCUUGGAGAUAAAUUAAAGAAAUACAAAUAGAGAAAUUAUGUACACCUGUUUAAAAACAGGUGGUCCAAUCGUUGAUUAUACAAUGGGUUUGGUGUAGCAUAAUACAUCGCUAAUUUUCUGCAUCCUGAAAAAGCAGCAUAUAUCUCUACGUGUCAAGUAUGCGCCACCCCAUGAACACCCUUGCUGGUCAUGUUUCAUCCGUACAUGCAUGUCCUUGCAUCCAUGGCUUCCACCAAAGUAGAUUUUUUUUAGAAGAUCCACCAAAGUAGAUGUGCUGGUGGACUGGAUCAGGGCCGUUGUCUGCAAUCUGGGCCUUCUUCCAGCAGAGGUUGCUGGGAUCGAACUCAACUCGUGAGGGAUUAGAAGAUUGAGGAUUCCACACAUAAAGGUGUAGAAGAUGUGGAAUUAGAUUGAGAUUAACCAUUAUCGAGUUAAGGAAAUAAAGCUACAACAUAAGAGAUGAGGAAUUAGAUGCAGAUCAAGUGUUACCGUGCUAGAGAAGGAAGGCUACAGAAAUUUGCAUGUCCUUGCAUCCAUGGCAUCCACCAAAUUAGAUGUGUUGGCGGACUCAAUUAAGGCCGUCCUAUGGGAUCUUCUCCUUCUUCCGGCAAAGGUUUCAUGGAUGGAACUCACCUCGCGAGGGUGAGGAAGAUUGAAUAUUCUGGGCAGAAAAGAAUAGAAGAUGAGGAAUUAGAUG